RNAcentral lists this long non-coding RNA (1508 nucleotides) under Strigops habroptila (Kakapo). RNAcentral's name for it is "lncRNA (ENSSHBG00005001771.1)". The record is from RNAcentral. Lineage: Eukaryota; Metazoa; Chordata; Aves; Psittaciformes; Psittacidae.
AAUUACAACAUUUUCAGCAGCACUGUGUGCUGAUCUCAGACACAAUGUGCAAAGAGCACUUCUAAGAGAGGGAAGGUGAUUCCUUAGAUCACAGUAACCGUAGGGCUAGGGAUGUCCCCUUUGCAGGGAGAGGAUGGUCCAUGUUUCUGUGUCUUGAAGAGGAAUUUAAGGGCAGUUCAGUGAAGGGCACAGAUAUUACCUGAUGUACAGGGUUGAGGUUGGAUCCACCUCCCUGAACCCUCUGGUUUCAGUGAGGUGGCAGCAGGGUUUCUCGUCUAAAGAACAGAGAGUGGAAACGCGUUAUGCAAACUGUGAGUUGCUAUAAUACCUAACAUCAGUAACCCUGCUCCCAUAGCUGUGGCUGCGACUAUGACUUUAAGUAACUGAUAAUUUUGACUAACAAAAGGUACACGCAGCUUUCGCCCACAUCCAUGGAAUUGCAUCUGAAUCAAACCCAGGAGAGUCAAGCCCAGCGCGAUGUGAAGCGAUGUAUCUGUACCCCAGCUACUUUCAAAUGCCAGCUUCAGACACCGAAGCGUCUUCUUUCUUUUCUUUCUGACUGGCGGUGGAGCUUGCUUUGCUGGGGAUGAUUCUAAGCCUUUUUUAUUCAUUUGGAUUUAUUUCUAAAACCAGUUGGUAGCAGGGUCAGAGUGAGAGCAGGUUAGUCACCAUAUAUAACCCUUCACAUUAUUAGGAAGGGCAUAUUUAUGCAUAUAUAUACAUACAUCUGUACAUGAGGACUUACUGUGUAGAACUAAGUCAAAAGGGAGAAAAAGGAUGGUGAGAAACAAGUCAUACUGAACAACACUGGUUUUCCUUCACUAUUUGGUGGAUCGCAUUGCCUGGUGAGACUUGCUAGAAGCAGUGGGACCUUACCUUGUUGGUGUCAUUCUGGGUGUUGCUAAGCAACAUGAAGUGGUUAAAAUGGAGCUACAGAAGAAGAGCACGGAGGAAUAAAGGCAACAAAAGACAUAGAAAAAGCAUAAAAGAGAUGAAAUGUGCCAGCACAUUCUGCAACGAAGUUGCUAAGUAUCAACUGGGAAAAAGGCAGUGAUUAAGAUCAUAGCGAAAAAAGAAAGCUGACACAAGUUGAAUGAGGAACUUGAUUCCGUACUUCACAUUCAAUCAAAUUUUUCAGUGCUUUGCUUGAAUAGUUGAUUGCAGUUUUGGUCCCAAAUGGCAAAAGUAGUGGCAAAAGAGAAUGAGAGCCUGGGAAGACAUGGGAGGCCUGGGAAAAAUUAAAGUGGAACCUCCAUACCAUAAAUGAAAAGAGAAAAGGAAUCACUCUACGUGUUGCUGGAAACCAAACAAUGGAACAGCAAGGCACUCUCCUGCAUACACUGUGUACUCUAAUUUUGCUUCAGAUAUUCUCUAAGGUUGUAAGGAAAACAUGCUAAAAUGGAUAUGGUUCUUCCAUCAUAUCUUUCUGUGAUGCAUGCCAAAUGCAUGUUUCUCAUUGUCCAGCAUAGGAAUGUUGGUCACAUUCUGUAUUAAAGCUUUUCAGCUGA